UACGGAGGGUGCGAGCGUUGUUCGGAAUUACUGGGCGUAAAGGGCGCGUAGGCGGCCUUGCAAGUCAGAUGUGAAAGCCCGCGGCUUAACCGUGGAAGUGCAUUUGAAACUGCGAGGCUAGAGUAUGUCAGGGGGAGAUGGAAUUCCCGGUGUAGAGGUGAAAUUCGUAGAUAUCGGGAGGAAUACCGGUGGCGAAGGCGAUCUCCUGGGGCAAUACUGACGCUGAGGCGCGAAAGCGUGGGGAGCAAACAGGAUUAGAUACCCUGGUAGUCCACGCCGUAAACGAUGUGCACUAGGUGCAGGUGGGUGUUGAUCCUAUCUGUGUCGCAGCUAACGCAUUAAGUGCACCGCCUGGGGAGUACGGUCGCAAGAUUAAA
This 377-nucleotide ribosomal RNA is filed under the name uncultured bacterium. Its description in RNAcentral is "bacterial SSU rRNA". It matches the Rfam family "Bacterial small subunit ribosomal RNA", at positions 524 to 898 of the family's 1533-position model. The record is from RNAcentral.